UUGCCCACUUCAGCAGCACAUAUACUAAAAUUGGAAUAAUACAGAGAGGAUUGUCAUGGUUCCUGAGCAAAUUUGUGAAGUGGUCCAUAUUAAA
RNAcentral lists this small nuclear RNA (94 nucleotides) under Otolemur garnettii (small-eared galago). Lineage: Eukaryota; Metazoa; Chordata; Mammalia; Primates; Galagidae. The record is from RNAcentral.